Long non-coding RNA from Sceloporus undulatus (fence lizard), 439 nucleotides. RefSeq lists it as uncharacterized. The record is from RefSeq and is a predicted model, not a curated record. The transcript has 3 exons. Lineage: Eukaryota; Metazoa; Chordata; Lepidosauria; Squamata; Phrynosomatidae.
UUUAACAUGCAAGAUCCUUUCAAUGGAUGGCCCAACCAUGAAGGUGCAAAGCUUGCAAACGCAGACAAGGAUCGCAGCUUCUCCUGGCAAGGAAUUAAAUGUUCUCCUGGUCUCCGGCAAAAGCUAAAAACCAUGUCUCCCAUCUUCUCUUUCCCUUCCUCCCUGAAGUUGCUGCUGGAUCAGGACUGUCACAGCCUGCAACUUCGGUAGCUGCCCCAUCUACCGCACCUUUAUCAGGACAUGGGAUUUUUAAUAACGCAAGUGCUUAUCUCUGGCUCAUCCUUUCCAAUCUCCUCCUGCAGAGAUUUCUUACCUUAAUCAGCAUGAUAUCUGCAUUCUUGGACGUGGGGCUGUAGUCGGGGUGGACUACCAUGCGAGUCGGUCGGAAAACCUGUUCGGUGCCUUCGAAAGUGGAUAGAGAAUAUUCCCCAGCGACAAU